Molecule: ribosomal RNA, 245 nt
Filed under: uncultured bacterium
Lineage: Bacteria
Description: partial 16S ribosomal RNA
Rfam family: Bacterial small subunit ribosomal RNA
Source: RNAcentral
CGUGAGCGGCGGACGGGUGAGUAACGCGUGGGUAACCUGCCUCCAUACAGGGGGAUAACAGUUGGAAACGGCUGCUAAUACCGCAUAAGCGCACAGUACCGCAUGGUACGGUGUGAAAAACUCCGGUGGUAUGAGAUGGACCCGCGUCUGAUUAGGUAGUUGGUGGGGUAACGGCCUACCAAGCCGACGAUCAGUAGCCGACCUGAGAGGGUGAACGGCCACAUUGGGACUGAGACACGGCCCAA